GUGUCAGCAGCCGCGGUAAUACGGAGGGCGCAAGCGUUGUUCGGAAUCAUUGGGCGUAAAGCGCGUGUAGGCGGCCGAGCAAGUCGGAUGUGAAAGCCCGGGGCCCAACCCCGGAAUUGCACUCGAUACUGCCCGGCUAGAGUCCCGGAGAGGAGAGCGGAAUUCCCGGUGUAGAGGUGAAAUUCGUAGAUAUCGGGAGGAACACCAGUGGCGAAGGCGGCUCUCUGGACGGUGACUGACGCUGAGACGCGAAAGCGUGGGGAGCAAACAGGAUUAGAUACCCUGGUAGUCCACGCCGUAAACGUUGAGUGCUAGACGUCGGGGGUAUUGACCCCCUCGGUGUCGAAGCUAACGCAUUAAGCACUCCGCCUGGGGAGUACGGCCGCAAGGCUAAAACUUAAAUGAAUUGACGGGG
This 415-nucleotide ribosomal RNA is filed under the name uncultured prokaryote. RNAcentral's name for it is "bacterial SSU rRNA". It matches the Rfam family "Bacterial small subunit ribosomal RNA", at positions 505 to 918 of the family's 1533-position model. The record is from RNAcentral.